Molecule: unclassified non-coding RNA, 272 nt
Filed under: Hevea brasiliensis (rubber tree)
Lineage: Eukaryota; Viridiplantae; Streptophyta; Magnoliopsida; Malpighiales; Euphorbiaceae
Source: RNAcentral
ACUUGGGGUACCAGGGCAGGCGUUCACUUUCUCGCAGUGUCAUAACAAGGUGGCUGUUGCUGAGGCAUCUGGUUUGACUGGUGAAAUAUCGCAAGUCGAAGAUUUCAUCAAAGAGCAUACAUACUGCUAGUGGCAGCUUUGCAGUGCAUAAUUUCUCUCAUUGGAACGGGAGGGCGAACUAUGUACUAGGAUUAUCUUUGGAAACUAAUAGUAAGAAUGACUGACCGAGAAUCAUGUAUUUGUCCUUCAAAAUAUACAUGGAUCGAGAUAAG